GAUGAACGCUGGCGGCGUGCCUAAUACAUGCAAGUCGAGCGAACGGACUAGAAGCUUGCUUCUCUGAUGUUAGCGGCGGACGGGUGAGUAACACGUGGAUAACCUACCUAUAAGACUGGGAUAACUUCGGGAAACCGUAGCUAAUACCGGAUAAUAUUUUGAACCGCAUGGUUCAAAAGUGAAAGACGGUCUUGCUGUCACUUAUAGACGGAUCCGCGCUGCAUUAGCUAGUUGGUAAGGUAACGGCCUACCAAGGCAACGAUGCAUGGCCGACCUGAGAGGGUGAUCAGCCACACUGGAACUGAGACACGGUCCAGACUCCUACGGGAGGCAGCAGUAGGGAAUCUUCCGCAAUGGGCGAAAGCCUGACGCAGCAACGCCGCGUGAGUGAUGAAGGUCUUCGGAUCGUAAAACUCUGUUAUUAGGGAAGAACAUAUGUGUAAGUAACUGUGCACAUCUUGACGGUACCUAAUCAGAAAGCCACGGCUAACUACGUG
RNAcentral lists this ribosomal RNA (497 nucleotides) under uncultured bacterium. RNAcentral's name for it is "partial 16S ribosomal RNA". It matches the Rfam family "Bacterial small subunit ribosomal RNA", at positions 28 to 507 of the family's 1533-position model. The record is from RNAcentral.